UCUGACGACCAUAGCGGCCCGGAACCACCUGAUCCCAUCCCGAACUCAGAAGUGAAACAGGCCUGCGCCGAUGGUAGU
RNAcentral lists this ribosomal RNA (78 nucleotides) under Marinobacter suaedae. The record is from RNAcentral. Lineage: Bacteria; Pseudomonadati; Pseudomonadota; Gammaproteobacteria; Pseudomonadales; Marinobacteraceae.